Molecule: ribosomal RNA, 1540 nt
Filed under: Staphylococcus aureus DAR3788
Lineage: Bacteria; Bacillati; Bacillota; Bacilli; Caryophanales; Staphylococcaceae
Description: 16S ribosomal RNA
Rfam family: Bacterial small subunit ribosomal RNA
Source: RNAcentral
AGAGUUUGAUCCUGGCUCAGGAUGAACGCUGGCGGCGUGCCUAAUACAUGCAAGUCGAGCGAACGGACGAGAAGCUUGCUUCUCUGAUGUUAGCGGCGGACGGGUGAGUAACACGUGGAUAACCUACCUAUAAGACUGGGAUAACUUCGGGAAACCGGAGCUAAUACCGGAUAAUAUUUUGAACCGCAUGGUUCAAAAGUGAAAGACGGUCUUGCUGUCACUUAUAGAUGGAUCCGCGCUGCAUUAGCUAGUUGGUAAGGUAACGGCUUACCAAGGCAACGAUGCAUAGCCGACCUGAGAGGGUGAUCGGCCACACUGGAACUGAGACACGGUCCAGACUCCUACGGGAGGCAGCAGUAGGGAAUCUUCCGCAAUGGGCGAAAGCCUGACGGAGCAACGCCGCGUGAGUGAUGAAGGUCUUCGGAUCGUAAAACUCUGUUAUUAGGGAAGAACAUAUGUGUAAGUAACUGUGCACAUCUUGACGGUACCUAAUCAGAAAGCCACGGCUAACUACGUGCCAGCAGCCGCGGUAAUACGUAGGUGGCAAGCGUUAUCCGGAAUUAUUGGGCGUAAAGCGCGCGUAGGCGGUUUUUUAAGUCUGAUGUGAAAGCCCACGGCUUAACCGUGGAGGGUCAUUGGAAACUGGAAAACUUGAGUGCAGAAGAGGAAAGUGGAAUUCCAUGUGUAGCGGUGAAAUGCGCAGAGAUAUGGAGGAACACCAGUGGCGAAGGCGACUUUCUGGUCUGUAACUGACGCUGAUGUGCGAAAGCGUGGGGAUCAAACAGGAUUAGAUACCCUGGUAGUCCACGCCGUAAACGAUGAGUGCUAAGUGUUAGGGGGUUUCCGCCCCUUAGUGCUGCAGCUAACGCAUUAAGCACUCCGCCUGGGGAGUACGACCGCAAGGUUGAAACUCAAAGGAAUUGACGGGGACCCGCACAAGCGGUGGAGCAUGUGGUUUAAUUCGAAGCAACGCGAAGAACCUUACCAAAUCUUGACAUCCUUUGACAACUCUAGAGAUAGAGCCUUCCUCUUCGGGGGACAAAGUGACAGGUGGUGCAUGGUUGUCGUCAGCUCGUGUCGUGAGAUGUUGGGUUAAGUCCCGCAACGAGCGCAACCCUUAAGCUUAGUUGCCAUCAUUAAGUUGGGCACUCUAAGUUGACUGCCGGUGACAAACCGGAGGAAGGUGGGGAUGACGUCAAAUCAUCAUGCCCCUUAUGAUUUGGGCUACACACGUGCUACAAUGGACAAUACAAAGGGCAGCGAAACCGCGAGGUCAAGCAAAUCCCAUAAAGUUGUUCUCAGUUCGGAUUGUAGUCUGCAACUCGACUACAUGAAGCUGGAAUCGCUAGUAAUCGUAGAUCAGCAUGCUACGGUGAAUACGUUCCCGGGUCUUGUACACACCGCCCGUCACACCACGAGAGUUUGUAACACCCGAAGCCGGUGGAGUAACCUUUUAGGAGCUAGCCGUCGAAGGUGGGACAAAUGAUUGGGGUGAAGUCGUAACAAGGUAGCCGUAUCGGAAGGUGCGGCUGGAUCACCU